RNAcentral lists this ribosomal RNA (522 nucleotides) under uncultured delta proteobacterium. Its description in RNAcentral is "bacterial SSU rRNA". It matches the Rfam family "Bacterial small subunit ribosomal RNA", at positions 21 to 523 of the family's 1533-position model. The record is from RNAcentral. Lineage: Bacteria; Deltaproteobacteria.
GGCUCAGAACGAACGUUAGCGGCGCGCUUAACACAUGCAAGUCGAGCGAGAAAGGGCUUCGGCCCCGGUACAGCGGCGCACGGGUGAGUAACACGUAGGGAAUCUACCUUCGAGUGGGGGAUAACCUUCCGAAAGGAGGGCUAAUACCGCAUGAGACCACGCCUCCGAGAGGGGGAGAGGCCAAAGCCAGCCACUUCACGAAAGCUGGCGCUUGAAGACGACCCUGCGGCCCAUCAGCUAGUUGGUAGGGUCACGGCCUACCAAGGCGAAGACGGGUAGCUGGUCUGAGAGGAUGAUCAGCCACACUGGAACUGAGACACGGUCCAGACUCCUACGGGAGGCAGCAGUGGGGAAUCUUGCGCAAUGGGCGAAAGCCUGACGCAGCGACGCCGCGUGAGUGAUGAAGGCCUUCGGGUUGUAAAGCUCUGUGGAGGGGGACGAAUAAGUCGGAGUUAACAGCUCCGAUGAUGACGGUACCCCUUUAGCAAGCACCGGCUAACUCUGUGCCAGCAGCCGCGGUAA